AAUCAACGCUGGCGGCGUGCCUAACACAUGCAAGUCGAACGCGAAAGCCCCGCGAGGGGUACGUUGAGUGUCAAACGGGUGAGUAACACGUGGGUGACCUGCCUUCGCGUGGGGGAUAACGUCCCUAAAGGGACGCUAAUACCGCAUCACAUCCUGCUUUUGACAAAGCGGAUCUCAAAUCUGGGGAUCGCAAGACCUAGCGCUUGAAGAGGUGCCCGCGGCUGAUUAGCUAGUUGGGGAGGUAACGGCCCCACAAAGCCACGAGCAGUAUCCCGCCUGAGAGGGGGGACCGACACAACGGGACUGGGACACGGCCCAGAAUCCUAAGGGAGGCAGCAGGGGGGAAAUGUUCGCAAUGGGCGCAAGCCUGACGACGCAACGCCGCGUGGAGGACGAAGAGCUUCGGGUCGGAAACUCCUGGCGAGCGGGACGAACGCUUCGCGGAUGAAUAAACCGAGGAAUUGACGGUACCGAUAAAGAAAGCCCCGGCUAACUCCGUG
Molecule: ribosomal RNA, 500 nt
Filed under: uncultured bacterium
Lineage: Bacteria
Description: partial 16S ribosomal RNA
Rfam family: Bacterial small subunit ribosomal RNA
Source: RNAcentral